UACGUAGGGUGCGAGCGUUAAUCGGAAUCACUGGGCGUAAAGCGCGCGUAGGCGGCUUUUCAAGUCAGGGGUGAAAUCCCACGGCCCAACCGUGGAACUGCCUUUGAAACUGUAGAGCUUGAGUGUCGGAGAGGGUGGCGGAAUUCCAGGUGUAGGAGUGAAAUCCGUAGAUAUCUGGAGGAACACCGGUGGCGAAGGCGGCCACCUGGACGACAACUGACGCUGAGGUGCGAAAGCGUGGGUAGCAAACAGG
Molecule: ribosomal RNA, 253 nt
Filed under: uncultured bacterium
Lineage: Bacteria
Description: partial 16S ribosomal RNA
Rfam family: Bacterial small subunit ribosomal RNA
Source: RNAcentral